RNAcentral lists this ribosomal RNA (210 nucleotides) under uncultured Bacillus sp. Its description in RNAcentral is "partial 16S ribosomal RNA". It matches the Rfam family "Bacterial small subunit ribosomal RNA", at positions 1178 to 1382 of the family's 1533-position model. Lineage: Bacteria; Bacillati; Bacillota; Bacilli; Caryophanales; Bacillaceae. The record is from RNAcentral.
AGUGACGUCAAAUACAUCAUGCCCCUUACCUUGUUCUCGGGCUACACACGUGCUACAAUGGCCGGUACAGACGGACGCAAAGCCGCGAGGUGGAGCAAAUCCUAAAAAGCCGGUCUCAGUUCGGAUUGCAGGCUGCAAUUCGCCUGCAUGAAGUCGGAAUCGCUAGUAAUCGCAGGUCAGCAUACUGCGGUGAAUACGUUCCCGGGCCUU